This 253-nucleotide ribosomal RNA is filed under the name uncultured bacterium. Its description in RNAcentral is "partial 16S ribosomal RNA". It matches the Rfam family "Bacterial small subunit ribosomal RNA", at positions 524 to 776 of the family's 1533-position model. The record is from RNAcentral.
UACGGAGGGUGCAAGCGUUAUCCGGAUUCACUGGGUUUAAAGGGAGCGUAGGUGGGUUGGUAAGUCAGUGGUGAAAUCCCCGAGCUUAACUUGGGAACUGCCAUUGAUACUAUCAGUCUUGAAUACCGUGGAGGUCAGCGGAAUAUGUCAUGUAGCGGUGAAAUGCUUAGAUAUGACAUAGAACACCAAUUGCGAAGGCAGCUGGCUACACGAUUAUUGACGCUGAGGCACGAAAGCGUGGGGAUCAAACAGG